GUAAUUGGAGGACAUAACAAGACUUUAUUAUUUUGUGAAAUUUUUCAACAAUUUGUAUUGUCUUGUAGAAAAUGAGGGUUAAUGAAGUUAUCAUAUUUGGUUCCUUACCCCUAAGUGGCAAAGA
Molecule: long non-coding RNA, 124 nt
Organism: Sphaeramia orbicularis (orbiculate cardinalfish)
Lineage: Eukaryota; Metazoa; Chordata; Actinopteri; Kurtiformes; Apogonidae
Exons: 3
Source: RefSeq, a predicted model, not a curated record